RNAcentral lists this non-coding RNA (30 nucleotides) under Homo sapiens (human). Lineage: Eukaryota; Metazoa; Chordata; Mammalia; Primates; Hominidae. The record is from RNAcentral.
UUGACCUACUCGUGGGGUUUCCAUGAUAAC